Molecule: small nucleolar RNA, 213 nt
Organism: Suncus etruscus (white-toothed pygmy shrew)
Lineage: Eukaryota; Metazoa; Chordata; Mammalia; Eulipotyphla; Soricidae
Product: small nucleolar RNA U3
Exons: 1
Source: RefSeq, a predicted model, not a curated record
AAGACUAUACUUCCAGGGAUCAUUUCUAUAGUAUGUGACUAGAGAAGUUUCUCUGAUCGUGUAGAAGCCACCCGAAGCCACUGUGAGUCAUAGCGUCCUCUCCUGAGCGUGAGGCCAGCUCUAAGUGUUGCUUCUGUGACUGCCUUUGGCCAUUGGUGAUUGUUCUUCCCUUCCUUUUGAAGGGGUAGAGGGAGAGGAUGAAAAAAAAAAAGA